Molecule: long non-coding RNA, 220 nt
Filed under: Brassica napus (rape)
Lineage: Eukaryota; Viridiplantae; Streptophyta; Magnoliopsida; Brassicales; Brassicaceae
Description: long non-coding RNA (BNAP_LNC009953)
Source: RNAcentral
GAGGGUGCUGGUGUGGGUGUUAUGACCCAAGUGCCAGGCUUAUGCUGCUUUCCACGUCUGGAGAAGCAUGAUUUAGAUUGCUCCAUGUAUUUCAUAGUACUUUUGCAAUGAGUAUAUACCAUGUGUUCCUUGUAUCGUGUAGCUCGUAGCGUUUUAAUACAGGUACUUUUCACAUUGGUACUCUGGGGACCCCGAUGCGCCUUAGGCUGCACAGGGGUUU